GACGUAGGGCGCGAGCGUUGUCCGGAAUUAUUGGGCGUAAAGAGCUCGUAGGCGGUCUGUCGCGUCGGAUGUGAAAAUCCAGGGCUCAACCCUGGACCUGCAUUCGAUACGGGCAGACUAGAGUUCGGCAGGGGAGACUGGAAUUCCUGGUGUAGCGGUGAAAUGCGCAGAUAUCAGGAGGAACACCGGUGGCGAAGGCGGGUCUCUGGGCCGAAACUGACGCCUGGAGGAAGCGAAAGCGUGGGGAGCAAACAGGAUUAGACUACCC
RNAcentral lists this ribosomal RNA (268 nucleotides) under uncultured bacterium. RNAcentral's name for it is "partial 16S ribosomal RNA". It matches the Rfam family "Bacterial small subunit ribosomal RNA", at positions 524 to 787 of the family's 1533-position model. The record is from RNAcentral.